GCGAAACCGGGAGGAGGCUCUGUGCCAGCAGGAGACCCGCCGCCAUCUCAGGUCUCUCGGCCUUGCCUGGCCCCACCUGAGAGCACUGAAGCCUGAAUAUUAUAAUCCUUAUGGGGGACCAACCUUGUACCUCCGGGAGAUCCACGCUCUCUCCUGGGAGCUCUAGGGAAUCCAAGCCACCCAAAAAACGCUGCCUCCUAGCUCCGCGGUGGGAUUAUCCAGAAGGAACACCCAACGGAGGUAGUACCCCUCUCCCCUCAGCACCUCCUCCUGCAUCUUCAGGCCUGAAGUCGCAUCCUCCUCCCCCGGAGAAGUAGUAGGAUAUUCUUCUUACACUCCGAACCAGUCUUUGAGAGAUUGCAGUAUGACUCCAUUUCCUUGUGCAUUCAUAAAAUAGUUCAUCCAGUGAAGACAGUGAUUACUGACAGUGCCACCCUGCUUUUUCUGAUAUUCUGCACCUGGAAGUUGUGAUAUUUAAGGACAGACAGAAAUUGAGAUGGAAAGGAAAGGUAGAUGGAGAAGAGAAAGAGAGACACCUGCAUUGGUUUACUGCUUGUGAAGUUUCCCCCAUGCAGAUGGGGAACAAGGACUUAAACCCAGGUCUUAGCUUAUAGUGAUAUCCACCACCACCUUGUACCCCUUCAAUUUUCUUUUCUAAAUAAUUUAUAGCCAUAAUUUAUAUCUGCUGUAUAUAAAACUUGCAGAUAUUUUUGUUAUCAUUUGAUUAAUAAUUUAUCAUUUUUCAUGAUUUUUAAAGAUUUAUUUCAUAUAAUAUAUAGAGUAAGAGAUUCACAUGAAAACAAGAGAAGUCACAAUUCAAGUACAUGUGGUGUCAGGACUUGAACUGGGAAGCUCAGGCAUGCAAGUGCUGUAAUCUGUCACUUGAACUAGCUCCUUGGCCACUCUUA
Erinaceus europaeus (western European hedgehog) is the source of this 908-nucleotide RNA transcript. It is a transcript of the gene named negative regulator of P-body association, with no coding region annotated. Lineage: Eukaryota; Metazoa; Chordata; Mammalia; Eulipotyphla; Erinaceidae. The record is from RefSeq and is a predicted model, not a curated record. The transcript has 3 exons.